GGGGGCGUGGGCUUGCAGGCUAGGAGGCCUGCGCCUUUAAGAGGCGGGGUUGCGCCCGCUGUGGCGGAAGCGGAUUGGCUGGGAGGAGUCUCCGGAAGUGAUGCUCGGAGAAGCCCACGUGUGCGAUUCCACCCCACAUGGCGGUGCUCCUGAAGAGGUUGCUGCUUCCCGGGAGGCCUCCGGCGGCCUUGGGCCGCCCCGUGGGACGGCGCGAGGUCAGCCUGGGCACUGAUCCCGGGGCUGCGGUGCGAGUGCGGUUCGCCCCCAGCCCCACAGGCUUCUUGCACCUGGGCGGCCUCCGCACUGCCUUAUACAACUACAUCUUUGCCAAGAAGCACCGAGGGAGCUUCAUCCUGAGGCUGGAGGACACGGAUCAGACCCGCCUUGUGCCUGGGGCAGCAGAGAAUAUUGAGGACAUGCUGGAGUGGGCAGGCAUCCCCCCUGAUGAGAGCCCCCGCCGGGGAGGUCCUGUAGGGCCCUACCUGCAGUCUCAGCGACUCGCGCUCUAUGCCCAGGCCACCGAAGCUCUACUGAAGAGUGGCGCUGCGUACCCGUGUUUCUGCUCACCCCAGCGACUGGAGCUCCUGAAGAGGGAGGCCCUUAGGAACCACCAGACACCCCGGUAUGACAAUCGGUGCCGCAGCCUGAGCCAGGCGCAGGUGGCCCAGAAGCUGGCCAAGGACCCCAAGCCUGCCAUUCGCUUCCGCCUGGAAGGGGCGGCGCCAGCCUUCCAGGACUUGGUGUAUGGCUGGAAUCGGCACGAGGUGGCCCGCGUGGAGGGGGACCCGGUCAUCCUGAAGAGCGAUGGCUUCCCCACGUACCACCUGGCCUGCGUGGUGGACGACCACCACAUGCGCGUCAGCCACGUGCUGCGGGGCUGCGAGUGGCUGGCCUCCACCUCCAAGCACCUGCUUCUCUACCAGGCCCUGGGCUGGCAGCCCCCCCACUUUGCCCACCUGCCCCUGCUCCUCAACAGGGAUGGCAGCAAGCUGUCCAAGAGGCAGGGGGACAUCUUCUUGGAGCACUUUGCUGCCGCCGGCUUCCUGCCGGACGCCUUGCUGGACAUCAUCACCAACUGCGGCUCGGGGUUUGCAGAGAACCAGAUGGGCAGGACCUUGCCAGAGCUGAUCACACAGUUUGACCUGACUCGCGUCACCUGCCACUCAGCCCUGCUGGACCUGGAGAAGCUCGCGGAAUUCAACAGGCUGCACCUCUGCCGGCUGGUGAGUGAUGGGACCCAGCGACGCCAGCUGGUGGGGAAGCUGCAGGCCCUCGUGGAGGAGGCGUUCGGGAGCCAGCUUCAGGACAGGAAGGUGCUGGACGCAGCCUACGUGGAGAGGAUUAUCCUGCUGAGACAGGGUCACUUUUGCCGCCUGCAGGAUUUGAUCUCCCCAGUGCACUCCUACCUAUGGACUCGCCCUGCCGUGAGUCGAGCGCAGCUGGACGCCAUCUCAGAGAAUGUGGACGUCAUUGCCAAGCGUGUGCUGGGGCUUUUAGAAGGACCCGGUACGAGCUUAACUCAGGACGUGCUGAAUGGAGAACUGAAGAAGCUGUCAGAAGGUCUGGAAGGCACCAAACACAGUAACGUGAUGAAGCUUCUCCGAGUGGCCCUCAGUGGACAGCUGGUGAGAUGGGCAGCUGGGCUGGACUGUGCCCUGGAGCCUUCAUUUAUCCACUCAACUAACAUUCACCAGCAACACGAAGCUCAGUUUGGGGGCUACAAAGAUGAAUGAAACAUGACCACUCCCCUUCAUUCAACAGACAGUACCUACUGAUGACUUACCCAAGGACCUCCGGUAGCUGAGAUGAUGUUGUCCCUGGGAUCAAAGGAAGUGCGGGAACGAGUACGGAAGGUGCUUUCCAGCUAGAGAGAGUGUGCAGGACAGAGGAGGUGGCCACAGGAGCCGUACGUACUCAUGGGACCUGCCCUCAGAGGGGAGGAGCAGGAGGCCUGGGGCCGUCGGAAUCUUGAGGAAGGAACCAAGAGCGGACACAGCCUCUGGGUGCACAGGUGCGUUCAUGGCUCCGUGGCAGGCCCGUCCUCAUCAGCUGGCCCUGGCGCCCAGCCCCUCUCACCUCCCUGACUCUGGAGAGGAAGGCCUCACGUCUGGUUCUGACACCACAGUACACAGCUGAGGUUAGGAGCUGCUUCACAGGAUAGUCACGGCUCGUGUUCUAAUCUGCUCGGGCUGCCGUGACACAAUACCACAGACGGGUGGCUUAAACGACAGAAAAUGGUUGUCUCACCGUUCUGGAGGCUGGCAGUCCAAGAUCAAGGUGUCAUCAGGUUUCCUUUCUCCUGAGGCCUCUCUCCUGGGCUUCCAGGCGGCUGCCUUUUUGCUCUCUGCUCACGUGGGCUUCCCUCUGUGUGUGCCCUCAGUAUCUGUCCACAUGCCCUCUUCUUAAGAGGACACCAGUCAGAUUGGGUUAAAGCCCACCCUAACGGCCCAGUUUGAGCUCAGUCACUGCUUUAAAGGCCCUGCCUGCAAAUUCAGUCACAUCCUGAAGUCCUAGGAGGUUAGGGCUUCAGCCCAUGAGUUCUGAGAGGAACACGAUUCAGCCUGUGCAUAACAGCUUGGCAGCGGCCUGGACUCCUGGGUCCCGGUUCUCAGGCCCAGUUUGACUUUGGAGCAGUGAUUGACACGCAGGCCUGAAUUGCCUCACCUGACUUCCUUUGGGGCUUGUAAGGGAGAACCUGCUCAUCUGCCAAGGGAAACACUUAGGUUUUAUGCGACUCUUUGUCCUUGGACUUAGAGCAGCCUGUGUCUCCCUUCCCUAAAGGUUGUCUCUUCCUCUUUUCCAGUUCUCCAGGCCUGGUCCUUGGACUGGAGACCUUCACCCUGCCUAUUCUGCACCUUUUUCUUCAUAUUCGCCUCCUCCUUCCACCCAUUAUUUGUAAAUCACUGUCUGAGGGUCUCUGAAAUGAGAUGUUCUUCUUGGGGUGGGUAGGAAUAACUGACGUGAAAGGAGGGUGGUGGCUGGCUACAAAGGCCCCCGACAGGGCUUCUAGGCUUCCCUGGUGUGGCCCCCAGUCAUCGGUGCCUCCUGGCAUUCACACUGAACGGGGCUGACUUCUGUGUGGUGUGUCAUGGCUUCCGUCUUGUUCCCUUGGAUCCCUUACUCCACGGGAAGCCAGCUUCCACAUUGUGAAGGCACUCAGACAGGGAUCGGAGGCCUCCUGACAACAGCUGUGUAAACUGGCCAUCUUGGAAGUCGGUCUUCUAUCCCCAGUCAAGCCUUCAGAUGACUGCAACGCUGGCGGACAGUUGACUGCAGCCUUCUUCUUUUUUUUUUUAAUUGAAGCAUAGUUGCUUUAGAAUAUUGUGUUAGUUUCUGCUGUACAGCAGAGUGAAUCAGCUAUAUGUAUACAUUUAUCCUGUCUUUCUUGGAUUUCCUUCCCAUUUAAGUCACCACAAAGCACUGAGUAGAGUUCCUUGUGCUUUAUGCUAGGUUCUCAUUAGUUAUCUAUUUUAUACAUAAUAAUGUAUAUGUGUCAAUCCCAAUCUCCCAGUUCAUCCCACCCCCCUUUCCCGCUUGGUAUCCAUACAUUUGUCCUCUGUGUCUGUGUCUCUAUUUCUGCUUUGCAAAUAAGUUCAUCUGUACCAUUUUUCUAGAUUUCACAUAUAUGUGUUAACAUAUAAUAUAUUACAAUAUAUGUUUUUCUCUUUUUGACUUCACUCUGUAUGACAGUCUUUAGGUCCAUCCAAGUCUCUACAAAUGGCACAAUUUUGGUUUUUUAUGGCUGAGUAAUAUUCCAUUGUAUAUAUGUACCACAUCUUUAUCCAUCCACAUCUUCUUUGUCCAUGGUGAUGGCCAUUUAGGUUGCUUCCAUGUCCUGGCUGUUGUAAAUAGUGCUGACUGCAGCCUUCUUGAAAGAUUCUGAGCCAGAACCACUAAGCAAAGUUGCUCCUGAAUUUCAGACACACAAUUAUAAGAUAAUAAACAUUUAUUGUUUAAAGCCACUUGGCUCUGGGGUAAUUUGUUACCCAGCAAUAGAUUGCUAAUACAUUCUCCUUGUCCAGGGGAGUAGAGGAAGGGGAUUAAAGAAUUUGUUGUUUCAUAGACACCUAAUCUUUGCUUGAAAAGUAUACCAAAUAAAGUUCUUUGAUGACAAGCAGUGGAAACCAACUCUGUCUAACUUAGGUUUAUUGAAGACUUUAAGUUUAUGGGAGUUUAAGUUUGUGAGAAAGUCAAAGAAUCUAUGGGAAAGCCAAAGAACCAGGUCUUGGAAAAGACAGGAACCAGGCAGCAGGAACUCAUGGCCCGUCUUGUCUAUGUUCUUCAGUCGGAACACAUGAACUUUUAAUUAUUUUCUGUUGUGGUUUCUCUGUAUUUUUCCUGUUCAGUUUUGGAUGACUCAGCUAAAGAAAGAUUCAGAUUCUGAGAAGAGAGUGCCUGGUUGGGCUAACUGAGAUCAUGUUACCAUUCCUCGUCCAGGAAUAGUGGUUCCUCAGGGAUUAUAUCCAACAGAGGAAAAGUUCCCAAGGAGAAGUAGGGUGCUUUUCCCAGAAGAAGGGGCAAUGAUAAAAACAACAGGUAUUGCACUAAAGGGGACACAGAAUAAUAAUGCUUGCAGUUUCUUGUGCAUUUACAUGAGCCUUAACCACUUCCGGGUUUCAGAUCAUGCUGGUACACACUUUAAUCCAUCAUCUCUUUGAAUCUUCACAACCCCACAAGAGAGCCAUUAUUAUUGUUGUUGUUGUUUUUGUUUCUGUGUUUUAGAUAGGGAAACUGGGGCUCAGGAAAGUUGAUCAACUCCUCUGAGGUUUUAGCCUGAGGCUUCUGACAACCCAGAGUCCAACCUCAACUCUUGACUAUUGAGCGACAUCAGAGCCUCUGCUUCUAAGACAUCAAGUAUGCUUAUGAGAAACUCUAGCUCUCGGUUAAGGAAUGUGACCAUUCUAGCAAAGUGAGUGAUCAGACUGCUGAGUUAGUAAAGCUGUGGCCGCUUCCUCAGUUGGAGUGAAUUGUCUGAGGAGCAUGUAUCCUCUGCUCUGGGGUUUUUCUCAGGAUCAGAAGGGUUGUAUGAAAGGACGUCACAGAUUUUAAAUAACCUCAAGUCCCCGGUGUUUAAAUAACCUCAACCCCCAGGGUCUUUUUGGAGAAUAGUGAAGUGGUGAAGGCCAUGGAGGCCAACUGUCUAGACUCAAAACCUAGUUCUGUUAUUUACUCACUGUGUAACUUCUGGAGCUCAGUUUCCUCAUCUGUAAAAUGGGGAAAACAAUUAUAUCUGUCUCAACAAAUUGUAAGAAUCAAAAUAGAUGACGUAUGUAAGGCUCUUAAAACGGUACCGCCUCUCAACAGAUGUUCUCUGUUACCCUCAUCCUCAUCACCAGUAUUUUCAGUCUUAGAAAUGAUGAUCUUAAAAAAAAAAAAAAAAAAAAAAAAGAAAUGAUGAUCUUGGGGACUUCCCUGGUAGUCCAGUGGUUAAGUCUUUGCCUUCCAGUGCAGGGGGUGUGGGUUUGAUCCCUGGUCGGGGAGCUAAGAUCCCAUGUGCCUUGCUGCCAAAAAGCCAAAAAAACAUAAAACAGAAGCAAUAUUGUAACAAAUUCAAUAAAGACUUUAAAAAUGGUCCACAGUAAAAAAAAGAAAAAAAGAAAUGAUGAUCUUGGUUGCAAAACAUAGAAACACACUCAGACUAACUUAAACCAUGAAAGGAAUUUACUGGAAGAAUUAGGACUCACAGAUUCCAAGGGCAGGACUCCCAGCUGGACCUUACAAGAGAGUGAAAUCUGUACCCAGAAACCCAUUAGGAUCCUACAUACUCACCUUUGUUCCCUCUGAAUCUCCAGUUUCUAACCUUCCUUUCUGUCUUGGUGUCUGCUCCUCUCAUCUUCCUUCUGCAGGCUGGCUUUCUCUUAUCUCUAUACAUGUCCAGCAACUACCCCAGCCCUAAAGCUCAUCAUCUCCCCUCUGCUACACUACCAAUUCAAUAAUUAGUAUUCCAUGUCCAGAAUAGCAGGAAAGAAUCUGAUUGGCCUGGCUUGGGUCAGCUGUCUACCCCUGGUCCAAUCAACUGUGGCCAGUGGGACAGAAUCAUGUAAUACCAUCAUGGCUGCAGGAGACCCACUCUAGUGACGGAGAGCGCUAUUCCUCCCCCUGAGCAUAUUCUCUUUCUUUUUUCUUUUUUUUGGGGGGAGCGGGGGGCUGCAUUCUGUCUUUGUUGCUUUCUCUAGUUGUGGUGAGCGGGGGUUACUCUCUGUUGCAGUGUGCGGGCUUCUCAUUGUGGUGGCUUCUCUUGUUGCAGAGCAUGGGUUCUAGGCACCCAGGCUUCAGUACUUGUGCUCGUGGGCUCAGUAGUUGUGGCUUGCAGGCUCUAGAGCACAGGCUCAGUAGUUGUGGCACACAGGCUUAGCUGCUUCAUGGCAUGUGGGAUCUUCCCAGACCAGGGAUCGAACCCAUGUCCCCUGCAUUGGCAGGCAGAUUCUUAACCACUGGGCCACCAGGGAAGUCCUGAGCACAUUCUCUUUCUGUGGAGUUUAGAGAGUACCCUUGCCAGAAAAUUACUAUUUUUUCUAUAGCCAACUUUGCAAUCUCAUUCGUAUUGCCUUUAUCCUGGCUUAUUUUUUCCCUCAUAAUGCUUAUUACUAAAUGGAAUCACGUAGUGUAUUUGUACAUGUUUAUUGUCUCUCUUACUGUGAAGAAGAUAAGAUUGAGCCAGGCAAUAAGUUUUUCUUACUCUUGGUUGUAACCAUAGCACCUGGCACAUUGCUUGACACAUAAUAGGGAGUCAGGUAAAGAGCUCAUGAUGAGGACGUCCCUGGUGGCACAGUGGUUAAGA
This is an RNA transcript of Hippopotamus amphibius kiboko, 6781 nucleotides long. It is a transcript of the gene named glutamyl-tRNA synthetase 2, mitochondrial, with no coding region annotated. The record is from RefSeq and is a predicted model, not a curated record. Lineage: Eukaryota; Metazoa; Chordata; Mammalia; Artiodactyla; Hippopotamidae. The transcript has 9 exons.